Passer domesticus (house sparrow) is the source of this 4215-nucleotide long non-coding RNA. RefSeq lists it as uncharacterized. NCBI's taxonomy places the organism in Eukaryota, Metazoa, Chordata, Aves, Passeriformes, Passeridae. The transcript has 5 exons. The record is from RefSeq and is a predicted model, not a curated record.
UUGCUGGGCGCCGGGUCCGGCCCUCCCCAGCCGUGCCCCCGAGUGCCGCAUCCCCACGGCUUUUGUAUCCCUGCAGGGGUGCGGGCUCCACCACUGCCCUGGGUGAAAACCCUGGUGGGGCCGUUUUCUCAGGAUCCGAGCUGAACCUCCCUGGCGCAGCUUGAGGGACCCAAGCCCUCCUCCCUCACAACUACUUCAGAUACCACUGCCUCGCUAAAACAUUCCGUUUUCUAUGUGCGUCUGAUGAGCCUCAGCUCGGUGGCUGGGCAGAGCAUGGAAGGGAUUUCCUGGAAGCUGUGCUGGGGCACUCCUGGAGGACAGGGAGGUGAUUUGGGACAGCCACGGCUCCAUCAAGGCCAAGUCCUGCUUGAUCAACCUUCUGUGAUGGAGUGGCCACAUGGAGUGGAAAAGGGAAGGUGUGUGGAUGUCACCUGUCUGGGCUUCUAUAAAGCCUUCAGCACAGUCCCACACAACAUCCUUCUGUCUGGAGAUGGAUUUUAUGGAUGGGCAGUUUGGUGAACAAGGAAUUGGCUGGAUGGUCACAUCCACAGUGCAGUGAUUGACUCAGUGUCCACAUGGAGAUCAGUGAUGUGUCCCUCAGGUCUGUUUGUGAUUUAAAGUCUUCAUCAAAGACAUGAACAGGGGGAUCAGGUGCACCCUAAGCAGAUUUGCAGGUAACUCCAAGCUGGGUGGUGUGGCUGACAUGCCUGAGGGAUGGGAUUCCAGCCAGGCUGGACUGGGCUCUGAACAACCUGAUCUAGGUGAGGAUAUUCCUGUGCACUGCACUGGGGCUGGGCUAGCUCACCUUCAAAGGUCCCUUCCAACCCAAACCAAGUAAGUCAAACUAAUUAAGCUUGAACAAAAUUAUUCCAAAAAAUUGCAAAAAGCUUGAAAUUUUAGAAUCCUAAAAUGACAGCUUUGUAUUACCAGCAAAGUGUAUCCAGCCUGCUUUUGUAGUGCUCCUUUAUAGAAUCUCAGGAUUUAUUAGGCCAUUACUAAUGAAAACUGAGGUAGGCAAGAGGGACUUCACCUCUUGCAUCCAUCCCUUCCUAAGGAUCAGAAACAGCUGAGAAUUUCACUAAACACUAACACUACUCUCUGCUGGGGAUGAUAAAUGCCCAGUGAUGCAGUGCAUAAUUUGUGGGUGUUUAUCCCUGUUAAUGGGGUCAACAGCUCUGAAUUUAAGCAUUUCCUUAAACUUCCUAUUCAAGGCACAGGACAAUUGUCUAUAUUUUUAUACCUAACUCAAAGCAGCAAAUAAAUGCACCUUUCCAGUGGGAUUGAAUAUCCAGGAACCUCUGCCAUUGCUGGGAUGGGAUUUCACAGGGACUUGUGUGAGCCUGCCUUGUCUGUCCCUCACUCCAGGGCUGCCAAGGUCUCCUGUGCAAAAGCCCCCAGAGCUGUCCCAGUGGUCCAUGAGAUGAUGAUCUGACUGAAAAGUAGCAGCAGAGAAAUAAGAUUCCUUUUCAAUCAAAUAAACUUGCAAAUGUUGCUGGCCUGGGAGAUGAGCACUGGAAGUGUGCAGGCAGUCAACAAAAUUAUGUGUUUAAUAAGACAUGGUUUUGUAACAGUUCUGAUAUAACAGUCCUUAAGCUAAAAGUUAUUAGAAAUGCUGAUGGGUUGUUAAAAAAUAAAAUAUUAAGACCUAAAAUUUAAAUGUGACAUUCACAUAAGCUUAGGCUUUGGUUGGCAAAGAUGUUAAUUAAAUGAGAUUUGCCUGCAUCCUUGCUUCAUGGCUGUCUUGUUGCAUCUAUUGAGUGACACUGAUAAAGCUGCUCUGUAGGAGCCCAGAAGAAAGUUCUGAUGGAAACAAAUCACUGUGUAAAAGAAAGCAAAAAAAACAAAAGAAAUCUCAGUUUUGCUGCUUCCUAAAGCUUUUGGAAGACUAGGUAUGUGAUCAGGAUUGCUGGUUAAUAGAGCUUAAUUAAUAAAGCUGGUUAUUAAAGCAGACCAAGAGUCCAGAAAUUUGCAGUGGAAAUUUUUCACCUCUGAUCCUGUAAGUGUCUGUACUUUUACUGUCUGACACAUCACCAUCCUUUUGGAGCAGAAGUCUGUUCUGGAUGAAUUUACAGCAAAUAUAUGGAGGCUUAAAAAGCCCAACAAACCCUCUUACAUUCUUCUGUGUAUUCUGCUGUUCCAGGGUAGUGAGUUAUUUCCAGGUGAGGUUUAGGAUGAUGAUAGCUGUGUGCUAGCACGCUGCUGCAGGAUCACACAGGGCUGUCUUCAUGAUAAACAAAACAAGUAACUUGGCUAUGAAACUUCCCUGAGGUGGAUAUUUGGCACUUGGAGGAUGGAUGGUGAAGAGCAGUGGCAGAGGUCUGGCUGGAUGUGCCUGUGCAUUGCCAAGGAAGAUGAAAACAUCAGCAGGAUCUGUAAUUCUCAUACACACAGCAGUCAGCCCUUAGCACCUCACCCUGAAUUAGCUGUGUGAACACUACAGAGCUGGUGCUGAGAGUGAGAACAUGACCAAGGGCACUGGUGGCCAUCAAAGUGGUCAGAUCAAGAGGAGACUUGAUAGUUGCUUUCUCUUUCCUUGUCCUUUACUAUUUUGUUGCUGCUUUUAACCUUCCUGAGGUGAUUCUUCUCUCCUUGAGCUGCCUCUCUCCAGCUCUCAAGGCUGCAGUUUCUCAGUGACCAAAGGCAAAGUGUGGCCAGCAGGACCAGGGCAGUGAUUGUCCCCCUGUGCUCAGAUUUGGGUUCUUUACUUCAAGAAGGACAUUGGAGCCUGUCUGAAGAACAGGAACAAAGCUGGGGAGGGAAGGAGCUGCCUGAGAGGAGACUGAAAUCAGGUGGGGGUUGGUCUCUUCUCACAGGUAAAAAUGCUAGGAGGAGAGGAAAUGACCUCAAGUUGUGCUCAGGGAAGUUUAGAUUCACUAUUAAGAAAAAUUUCUGCAUGCAAAGGAUGGCCAAGCAUUGGAACAGGCUGCCCAGAGAAGGGAUUGAGCCAACAGCCUUGGAGGUGUUUAAAAGACAUCUACAUGUGGCACUUAGGGACAUGCUUUUUUCUUGGUGAACAGUCUCAGGUGGUGCUGCAUCUUUUCCAUCAAGUUGAAUUGUUACGUUGUUGGCCCUGAUCACCUGGAAGAACUGUCUUUUUUGGUAAACUGAAAUAUCAGUUCUGGGAAAUGUCAUCUUGAAAUCCAGCAGUUGAGACAGCAAUUUGAGAAGCCUGGAAUGAAGACAAAUCCAAAAUCACUCCAGUGGAAACUCCAGUGGUGACAAUGGUUUCAGGAACAGUUCACUUGAAGCGAAAGCUGAGCUGUUAAUAGCAGCCCUCAAAUAUCUGCAAGUAUGACCCAAAGGGGAGAGUAAAUACUUUGGAACAGUGAGAUGAUGCUUCUGUAUCACUUGAGACAUGAACUGAUGAAGAAGGGUUUUAAUUGGCUUGAUGAACACUGCAAGCUUGUAUGUUUGUCUUGCUCUUUGGCAGACCAUACUUGGUGAAGGAAUUCAGUUGACUUUGAUGGGGCUUGACUGUUCUGGGUUAAAAACUGCAUGAAUUUUUUAAAGGCUUCCACAUCAACGUGGAGGAGGUGAUUGAAAGUAUAGAUCAUGGCUGUGCUGGAGCUCUGUAGGUAACUCCAGUGGAAGUGAGCAUCAUUGUUUUCCUUUUUGCCUCCUUAACAAGUUUAACUUUAUUUUUCCUACUUGCUUGUGAAAGGAAGAGGUACUAAUUAGGUGACUACAAAAGAAUGACAGUUCCUGCAGGAAUUAUCAUCUCUGAUGCAGAAUCAUAGAAUUGUUUAAGUUGGAAAAUACAUGUAAGAUCAUCAAGUCCAACCAUUAACCCAGCAUUGCCAAGCCCAUCACUAAGCCACGUCCCCACAUGCCACAUCCAUGUCUUUUAAAUUCCCCCAGGGAUAUCUCCAGGGUCUCAGGGCAUCAUAGUGAUCAGUUCUCUGCCUCUUUCAUGUCCUUUCUAGUUUGUUUUCCCUGGUCCAUUUUGUGGUUGUAAUAAACUUUACAUGUGUACAGUACCAGACAUUAUCUGGUUGACAAGAACAAUUAAGGCAACCCCACCACAGCUGGGUUUCACAGAUAUGCCUAAAAGUGGAUAUGGGAAUCCGUGAGGUAACUGGGCUGAGGUUUUCAAAGCAACAGGAGAAAUAAAAGGAUAUAAACAAACAAAUCCAAAUUUAAUUCAAGAUCCAGCAGUAUGUGUAAUACUGAUUUAAUUACAGGAUAUCUUUCAAACAUGUAACAGGGAGAGGUAGU